GUUGUAGCACGUGUAAACAUCCUACACUCUCAGCUGUGAACUGAGGUGGCUGGGAGAGGAUUGUUUACUCCUUCUGCCAU
RNAcentral lists this microRNA precursor (80 nucleotides) under Columba livia (rock pigeon). RNAcentral's name for it is "microRNA cli-mir-30c precursor (cli-mir-30c-1)". Its record names the gene cli-mir-30c-1. It matches the Rfam family "mir-30 microRNA precursor family". From Rfam's summary of the family: This family consists of the mammalian microRNA (miRNA) precursor mir-30a. Animal miRNAs are transcribed as ~70nt precursors and subsequently processed by the Dicer enzyme to give a ~22nt product. In this case the mature sequence comes from both the 3' (miR-30) and 5' (mir-97-6) arms of the precursor. The record is from miRBase by way of RNAcentral. Lineage: Eukaryota; Metazoa; Chordata; Aves; Columbiformes; Columbidae.